Molecule: ribosomal RNA, 497 nt
Filed under: uncultured bacterium
Lineage: Bacteria
Description: partial 16S ribosomal RNA
Rfam family: Bacterial small subunit ribosomal RNA
Source: RNAcentral
GAUGAACGCUGGCGGCGUGCCUAAUACAUGCAAGUCGAGCGAACGGACGAGAAGCUUGCUUCUCUGAUGUUAGCGGCGGACGGGUGAGUAACACGUGGAUAACCUACCUAUAAGACUGGGAUAACUUCGGGAAGCCGGAGCUAAUACCUGAUAAUAUUUUGAACCGCAUGGUUCAAAAGUGAAAGACGGUCUUGCUGUCACUUAUAGAUGGAUCCGCGCUGCAUUAGCUAGUUGGUAAGGUAACGGCUUACCAAGGCAACGAUGCAUAGCCGACCUGAGAGGGUGAUCGGCCACACUGGAACUGAGACACGGUCCAGACUCCUACGGGAGGCAGCAGUAGGGAAUCUUCCGCAAUGGGCGAAAGCCUGACGGAGCAACGCCGCGUGAGUGAUGAAGGUCUUCGGAUCGUAAAACUCUGUUAUUAGGGAAGAACAUAUGUGUAAGUAACUGUGCACAUCUUGACGGUACCUAAUCAGAAAGCCACGGCUAACUACGUG